UACGAAGGGGGCUAGCGUUGCUCGGAAUCACUGGGCGUAAAGGGUGCGUAGGCGGGUCUUUAAGUUAGGGGUGAAAUCCUGGAGCUCAACUCCAGAACUGCCUUUGAUACUGAGGAUCUUGAGUUCGGGAGAGGUGAGUGGAACUGCGAGUGUAGAGGUGAAAUUCGUAGAUAUUCGCAAGAACACCAGUGGCGAAGGCGGCUCACUGGCCCGAUACUGACGCUGAGGCACGAAAGCGUGGGGAGCAAACAGG
Molecule: ribosomal RNA, 253 nt
Filed under: uncultured bacterium
Lineage: Bacteria
Description: partial 16S ribosomal RNA
Rfam family: Bacterial small subunit ribosomal RNA
Source: RNAcentral